Molecule: ribosomal RNA, 505 nt
Filed under: uncultured bacterium
Lineage: Bacteria
Description: partial 16S ribosomal RNA
Rfam family: Bacterial small subunit ribosomal RNA
Source: RNAcentral
AUUGAACGCUGGCGGCAGGCCUAACACAUGCAAGUCGAACGGUAACAGGAAUCAGCUUGCUGAUUCGCUGACGAGUGGCGGACGGGUGAGUAAUGUCUGGGAAACUGCCUGAUGGAGGGGGAUAACUACUGGAAACGGUAGCUAAUACCGCAUAACGUCGCAAGACCAAAGAGGGGGACCUUCGGGCCUCUUGCCAUCGGAUGUGCCCAGAUGGGAUUAUCUUGUUGGUGGGUAACGGCUCACCAAAGCGACGAUCCCUAGCUGGUAUGAGAGGAUGACCAGCCACAGUAGAACUGAGACACGGUCCAGACUCCUACGGGAGGCAGCAGUGGGGAAUAUUGCACAAUGGGCGCAAGCCUGAUGCAGCCAUGCCGCGUGGAUGGAGAAGGCCUUCGGGUUGUAAAGUACUUUCAGCGGGGAGGAAGGGCGUAAAGUUAAUACCUUUACUCAUUGACGUUACCCGCAGAAGAAGCACCGGCUAACUCCGUGCCAGCCGCCGCGGUAA